UCAUCCCAGAAAGUGCCAUAGAAAGGGGAGUUCAGUAAGAAGAGGAAGUCUAAGGAGGCUGGAAGUGACUCUUUGCUCAGCAAAAACUGCCUUAGCAGGAGAAAAUGGCAGUGUGCAAGAUGGGGAAAGGAUGGGGUCACACAAAGAAAAAGAGCUAGAGUUGACCUAUUUUCCACUCUGGGAAUGAGAUAUAAGCUAGGAGGCAAGCCUGAGGCUGAGACUCCACCAGGGAUGGCAGAAUCUUCGGAAGAAUUGGAGGUGCUGGCCAGGGCAGAGGUCAAGGUCUUGACGGAGGCCAUUGAUGAGGGUAAUCACCUUUUUGAUUGAUGUGCAAGGAGCUGCAAACUGCUUGAUUGAGGACCAUCUACCUAAAGUUAGCUUCUUUCGGGGUUUAACUGGACUGUGUGAUUGAAGACACUCUGACUCAGGUGAAUGAAAAAGAGACCAAGUGAAAAAACUAAGUGAUUUAAUGACCUGAAUGUAUCCCAUAGAGUGGAAAAUAAAAUACAGGAUCCCAAGCUUUGACCUUCUAUGUCAUCAUCAUCUUUGAAAUAUACAGGAAAAGGUGGGCUGUUUUGGCUUCCUACCAUGGAGGAGGACCUUGAAGGAGAAAAUUGGCAGACCUUCUCCAGUCCCUGGGGCUUCAGCAGGGCGGCUGAGGAUGAAGGAGAACAUAUUUGCCACCACUGGACAAAGUCAU
Cebus imitator (Panamanian white-faced capuchin) is the source of this 700-nucleotide long non-coding RNA. RefSeq lists it as uncharacterized. The record is from RefSeq and is a predicted model, not a curated record. The transcript has 6 exons. Lineage: Eukaryota; Metazoa; Chordata; Mammalia; Primates; Cebidae.